GGGAAGGUGGCCGAGCGGUUAAGGCGCUGUGUUUAGGUUCCUCCAAACCUAGAUCCGCAGUUCGAAAGAGCGUGGGUUCGAAUCCCAUCCUUCUCA
Molecule: non-coding RNA, 96 nt
Organism: Karstenula rhodostoma CBS 690.94
Lineage: Eukaryota; Fungi; Ascomycota; Dothideomycetes; Pleosporales; Didymosphaeriaceae
Source: the annotation of a GenBank genome assembly